Molecule: long non-coding RNA, 1417 nt
Organism: Setaria italica (foxtail millet)
Lineage: Eukaryota; Viridiplantae; Streptophyta; Magnoliopsida; Poales; Poaceae
Exons: 2
Source: RefSeq, a predicted model, not a curated record
GCCAGGUAUAGCCGAUUCUCCACGCGGAAACUGGCCCGACCUCCAGACGUCGGGCAGCGCUCGUUGUCUCCCUCGACUCGACGCCCCCGCAUCGUCGCCCGACUCGUCCCCGCCGUCGUAGCGCGUCGUCUCCGCUACGCUCUCCUCCACUGCCACCGCAUCAGGUCAAUCGAUGUUCGCCCGCAUCUCCCUGCUGUUCUAGAGUUUCUCCUCUCCUCUCACCGUUUCUUUAGAUCUGGGAAGAAGAGCUGCGGCUACUAACACAGCCCGUGCAACAAUUUCACCCAGGUGAGGCGACUCCUUCAGAAGAAUUUGAAUACCCUUGAUUCGAAUCGGUGGUUUAGGGAAGUGCACAGUUAAAUCAUAUAAUUUUCAUGGCGAUCCAUGGUUUCGUGUUCCUGAUUUUCAUUGGAAAUUAGUGUGGUAUUUUUUUAGGAAUUAGUGUGUUAUAUUAGGUCCACUAGCUCUCGAUUAGUCUGAUCCAAUUCAUAUAUUUUUACAUCCACUUGUUGUGUGCGUAUGGAUGAUUUGUAGAGUUCUUUUCCCCCUACAAAUCAAUGAUGAUUGUUUAGGUGCAUCUGCUUGGACACGCAUUUGUGUUGCUAAUUUGUCACUUUGGGGAAAUAUUCUCUGAUUCCUUGCUGGAUUCAUGUUGAUCCCUCUUUUACCUGUAUGCCUAGUUAUCUGAAGUUAAAAGGUCUUCUGGUUGAUGGUAAGCUCAGUUGUCAAUUACACUGAUCACCAUUGCUAGAGAAGUUCAGUUAAGUUUGUUCAGUCAGAGAGAAGUUUAGAACAAGAAAAUUUGAGUGCCAAAUGUUCAUUUUUUUAUCACAACUAUUAGAACAAGAAAAUUUCUUUAAGUAUACAAGUAAUUAUAGUAGAAAAUUGACAUUGUCCUCUCUACUUUUAUCUUGGUAAAGCGUCUGCUAAUUUAUCAGUGUUUUGAGGUACUAAUCCGGUGAGGAUCAAUUUUAUAUGGUCCUUCUCAAUGUUUGCUUUUAGUUGGAUAUGGUGUCAUCUGCAAGCAACUUUCCAGUUCCCAGAUGAAGAGGUUUGCGGCACCCAGUUGAGGCAUAUGAUUGAGAGAUGGUUCCUGACAAUUGCAUCACAGUUCAUCUUUCUUUCUUCAAGUAGAUUACUUUUAGAAGUAGAAAUAUACUAGGAUUUGCAUUUUCUAGAGAUCUAUAGUUUAUCUACAUCAAGAUGUCUACGGCCAUACUACAAGUUUCUGAAGUUUGCAGAAUAAAUGCUUUUGUCGGUGUCAUGCUCAUGAUCUGAAGGACUUUUGUGCAGCAACAGAACUGAAUUCACUCAUGUUGUAUUUUACUUUUUAAUAUCUGUGUGGAUGAAUUGACGGAGAGAACUAUUUGCUAUGGAUUAGCUUGACUUGAUUAAUAAUAUAACUCCAAUUUUGGUA